This 492-nucleotide ribosomal RNA is filed under the name uncultured bacterium. RNAcentral describes it as "partial 16S ribosomal RNA". It matches the Rfam family "Bacterial small subunit ribosomal RNA", at positions 29 to 507 of the family's 1533-position model. The record is from RNAcentral.
AGUGAACGCUGGCGGUAGGCCUAACACAUGCAAGUCGAACGGCAGCACAGUAAGAGUUUGCUCUUACGGGUGGCGAGUGGCGGACGGGUGAGGAAUACAUCGGAAUCUACUUUUUCGUGGGGGAUAACGUAGGGAAACUUACGCUAAUACCGCAUACUACCUACGGGUGAAAGCAGGGGAUCUUCGGACCUUGCGCGAUUGAAUGAGCCGAUGUCGGAUUAGCUAGUUGGCGGGGUAAAGGCCCACCAAGGCGACGAUCCGUAGCUGGUCUGAGAGGAUGAUCAGCCACACUGGAACUGAGACACGGUCCAGACUCCUACGGGAGGCAGCAGUGGGGAAUAUUGGACAAUGGGCGCAAGCCUGAUCCAGCCAUACCGCGUGGGUGAAGAAGGCCUUCGGGUUGUAAAGCCCUUUUGUUGGGGAAGAAGAGCAGCAGGUUAAUACCCCGCUGUUCUGACGGUACCCAAAGAAUAAGCACCGGCUAACUUCGUG